Molecule: transfer RNA, 89 nt
Filed under: Streptomyces scabiei 87.22
Lineage: Bacteria; Bacillati; Actinomycetota; Actinomycetes; Kitasatosporales; Streptomycetaceae
Description: tRNA-Ser (TGA) (tRNA-Ser-TGA-2-1)
Source: RNAcentral
GCGGCGGAGGGGCAGGCGUCCAUGAUCGCCGAAAGGUCUUGAAAACCGUCGUGGCAGCGAUGUCACCGUGGGUUCAAAUCCCACACCCA